This 568-nucleotide ribosomal RNA is filed under the name uncultured bacterium. RNAcentral's name for it is "bacterial SSU rRNA". It matches the Rfam family "Bacterial small subunit ribosomal RNA", at positions 38 to 698 of the family's 1533-position model. The record is from RNAcentral.
GGCGGUAGGCCUAACACAUGCAAGUCGAACGAGUGGCGGACGGGUGAGGAAUACAUCGGAAUCUACUCUGUCGUGGGGGAUAACGUAGGGAAACUUACGCUAAUACCGCAUACGAUUGAAUGAGCCGAUGUCGGAUUAGCUAGUUGGCGGGGUAAAGGCCCACCAAGGCGACGAUCCGUAGCUGGUCUGAGAGGAUGAUCAGCCACACUGGAACUGAGACACGGUCCAGACUCCUACGGGAGGCAGCAGUGGGGAAUAUUGGACAAUGGGCGCAAGCCUGAUCCAGCCAUACCGCGUGGGUGAAGAAGGCCUUCGGGUUGUAAAGCCCUUUUGUUGGGAAAGCGGUACCCAAAGAAUAAGCACCGGCUAACUUCGUGCCAGCAGCCGCGGUAAUACGAAGGGUGCAAGCGUUACUCGGAAUUACUGGGCGUAAAGCGUGCGUAGGUGGUCGUUUAAGUCCGUUGUGAAAGCCCUGGGCUCAACCUGGGAACUGCAGUGGAUACUGGGCGACUAGAAUGUGGUAGAGGGUAGCGGAAUUCCUGGUGUAGCAGUGAAAUGCGUAGAGAUC